GACGAACGCUGGCGGCGUGCCUAAUACAUGCAAGUUGAGCGCUGAAGGUUGGUACUUGUACCAACUGGAUGAGCAGCGAACGGGUGAGUAACGCGUGGGGAAUCUGCCUUUGAGCGGGGGACAACAUUUGGAAACGAAUGCUAAUACCGCAUAAAAACUUUAAACACAAGUUUUAAGUUUGAAAGAUGCAAUUGCAUCACUCAAAGAUGAUCCCGCGUUGUAUUAGCUAGUUGGUGAGGAAAAGGCUCACCAAGGCGAUGAUACAUAGCCGACCUGAGAGGGUGAUCGGCCAAAUUGGGACUGGGACACGGCCCAAACUCCUACGGGGGGCAGCAGUAGGGAAUCUUUGGACAUGGACGAAAGUCUGACCGAGCAACGCCGCGUGAGUGAAGAAGGUUUUCGGAUCGUAAAACUCUGUUGGUAGAGAAGAACGUUGGUGAGAGUGGAAAGCUCAUCAAGUGACGGUAACUACACAGAAAGGGACGGCUAACUACGUG
RNAcentral lists this ribosomal RNA (497 nucleotides) under uncultured bacterium. RNAcentral describes it as "partial 16S ribosomal RNA". It matches the Rfam family "Bacterial small subunit ribosomal RNA", at positions 28 to 507 of the family's 1533-position model. The record is from RNAcentral.